GGGCCCGUGGGGUAGUUUGGUACCCUUGUGGCUUCGGGAGCCAUUGACUCGAGUUCAAAUCUCGACGGGCCCA
This 73-nucleotide transfer RNA is filed under the name Thermoplasmatales archaeon. Its description in RNAcentral is "tRNA-Pro". It matches the Rfam family "tRNA". From Rfam's summary of the family: Transfer RNA (tRNA) molecules are approximately 80 nucleotides in length. Their secondary structure includes four short double-helical elements and three loops (D, anti-codon, and T loops). Lineage: Archaea; Methanobacteriati; Thermoplasmatota; Thermoplasmata; Thermoplasmatales. The record is from RNAcentral.